Molecule: transfer RNA, 74 nt
Filed under: Acidimicrobiaceae bacterium
Lineage: Bacteria; Bacillati; Actinomycetota; Acidimicrobiia; Acidimicrobiales; Acidimicrobiaceae
Description: tRNA-Met
Rfam family: tRNA
About the family: Transfer RNA (tRNA) molecules are approximately 80 nucleotides in length.
Source: RNAcentral
GGCGGGAUAGCUCAGUUGGUCAGAGCGCACGGCUCAUAAUCGUGAGGUCCUGGGUUCGAGUCCCAGUCCCGCUA